GAUCCUGGCUCAGGAUGAACGCUAGCGACAGGCUUAACACAUGCAAGUCGAGGGGCAGCACGGUGUAGCAAUACACUGGUGGCGACCGGCGCACGGGUGAGUAACACGUGUGCAACCAACCCCGUACCGGGAGAUAACCCGCGGAAACGUGGACUAACAUCCCAUAAUACUGGAGGAUCGCAUGAUCUUUCAUUUAAAAUUCCGGUGGUACGGGACGGGCACGCGCGACAUUAGGUAGUUGGCGGGGUAACGG
Molecule: ribosomal RNA, 253 nt
Filed under: uncultured bacterium
Lineage: Bacteria
Description: partial 16S ribosomal RNA
Rfam family: Bacterial small subunit ribosomal RNA
Source: RNAcentral